This 405-nucleotide ribosomal RNA is filed under the name uncultured bacterium. RNAcentral describes it as "partial 16S ribosomal RNA". It matches the Rfam family "Bacterial small subunit ribosomal RNA", at positions 30 to 526 of the family's 1533-position model. The record is from RNAcentral.
AUUGAACGCUGGCGGCAGGCCUAACACAUGCAAGUCGAACGAGUGGGGGGGGGGUGAGUAAUGCUUGGGAAUCUAGCUCCUGGAGGGGGAUCACUAAGGGAAAAUGUAGCUAUUAUAGCGUACCAGAGGAGCAGCGCAAGUGGGAUUAGGUAGUUGGUGAGGUAAAGUCUCACCAAGCAGACGAUCUCUAGCUGGUCUGAGAGGAUGACCGGCCACACGGGAACUGAGACACGGCCCAGACUCCUACGGGAGGCAGCAGUGGGGAAUAUUGCGCAAUGGGGGAAACCUGACGCAGCCAUGCCGCGUGAAUGAAGAAGGCCUUCGGGUUGUAAAGUUCUUUCGGUAGCGAGGCGUUAACUACAGAAGAAGCACCGGCUAACUCCGUGCCAGCAGCCGCGGUAAUUC